CAUUAAGAAGCUAUGAACCAGCACUAGCCUUUUAAGCUAGAGAAAGAGGAAAUUUCCCUCCUUAAUGA
This 68-nucleotide transfer RNA is filed under the name Lophura bulweri (Bulwer's pheasant). Its description in RNAcentral is "tRNA-Lys". RNAcentral also lists the same sequence under 5 other names. The record is from RNAcentral. Lineage: Eukaryota; Metazoa; Chordata; Aves; Galliformes; Phasianidae.